ACGUAGGGUGCAAGCGUUAAUCGGAAUUACUGGGCGUAAAGCGUGCGCAGGCGGUUGUGCAAGACAGAUAUGAAAUCCCCGGGCUCAACCUGGGAACUGCAUUUGUGACUGCACAGCUUGAGUGCGGCAGAGGGGGAUGGAAUUCCGCGUGUAGCAGUGAAAUGCGUAGAUAUGCGGAGGAACACCGAUGGCGAAGGCAAUCCCCUGGGCCUGCACUGA
RNAcentral lists this ribosomal RNA (219 nucleotides) under uncultured prokaryote. RNAcentral's name for it is "partial 16S ribosomal RNA". It matches the Rfam family "Bacterial small subunit ribosomal RNA", at positions 525 to 743 of the family's 1533-position model. The record is from RNAcentral.